GAGGCGGUGAAUGAGUCAUUGACAUUUCGCUGAAAGAUCUUUCAUCAAAAGACCUCUUCCUUUCUAUAUUAACGUGUCUUGGUCUUUCCAGCAACCUAGACAAAUCUUCCUCGAUUUCAAACAAGGAUGGAGCAGCUUCGACAUGUCUUGCAUUUCCAUUUUGAGACACAUCCGUUGUGCUAGGCAUCUUUUGACACUUUCAAAUGUCCUAGACAAUAAGAAAUUGAAUCCAAAGAUCUUUCAACAUGUCUUGCAUUUCCAUUUUGAGACACAUCCGUUGUGCUAGGCAUCUUUUGACACUUUCAAAAGUCCUAGACAAUAAGAAAUUGAAUCCAAAGAUCUGCAUAUCACCAAUGAAAUAAGCAAAGUUUUAAUACUAAUACUUAACAGGAGCUUCGUAAUCUCACCAGAAAUUAUAAAGAGAAUCAACUAGCAAUGUAAAGUGCAAUUAAUGUCUUUGUUACUUAAAAUAUAUCUAAUAAAAAUGUGCAACAUAUCACAGGAAGCAGCAACUAGGCAUCAACAUUCUGCUAAUAUUUGCUAUAGCCUGUAAACGAUAUUCUCGAGAAGUUAAGUCAACUGAACAAAACUAGAGCAAGUUCAUUAGUACAUACUUGGAGUGAUUAUGACUAAUCAUUAACUUAAUCAAACAAUAAAGCCAAACUAGUGCUAGAUCUUUUUUCCUUUAUCAAUUUAUUAUGUUUUUUCUUUAAUGUUCAUAUUUUGAUCAGUAUGAAGUCAAUCAAGCAACAUACUGAAGCCGGCCGGCACAAACACCUAACUGAAAUUCUAAAAAUAUAUAAUGAAUGCAAAUUAAACUAGCAGAAACUAUAAUAUUAUCG
This 842-nucleotide long non-coding RNA is filed under the name Nicotiana benthamiana. Its description in RNAcentral is "long non-coding RNA (NBEN_LNC003065)". Lineage: Eukaryota; Viridiplantae; Streptophyta; Magnoliopsida; Solanales; Solanaceae. The record is from RNAcentral.